AUCAGUUUAGCAGCAUAUAUACUAAAAUUAGAAAGAGAUAGAAAAGAUUAGCAUGGGCCCUGAGCAAGGGUAACAUGCAAAUUCGUAAAGCAUUCCAUAUUUUU
RNAcentral lists this small nuclear RNA (104 nucleotides) under Catagonus wagneri (Chacoan peccary). Lineage: Eukaryota; Metazoa; Chordata; Mammalia; Artiodactyla; Tayassuidae. The record is from RNAcentral.